This 253-nucleotide ribosomal RNA is filed under the name uncultured bacterium. Its description in RNAcentral is "partial 16S ribosomal RNA". It matches the Rfam family "Bacterial small subunit ribosomal RNA", at positions 524 to 776 of the family's 1533-position model. The record is from RNAcentral.
GACGAGGGAUCCUAGCGUUGUUCGGAAUUAUUGGGCGUAAAGCGGGUGUAGGCGGUCUUAUAAGUCAGGUGUGAAAUCCCGGGGCUCAACCCCGGAAGUGCACUUGAUACUGUAAGUCUUGAAUGUGGUAGAGGCUACUGGAAUUGUUGGUGUAGUGGUGAAAUACGUAGAUAUCAACAGGAAUACCGGAGGCGAAGGCGGGUAGCUGGGCCAACAUUGACGCUGAGACCCGAAAGUGUGGGGAUCAAACAGG